UACGUAGGGUGCGAGCGUUAAUCGGAAUUACUGGGCGUAAAGGGCGCGUAGGCGGUCGUGACAAGUCACUUGUGAAAUCUCCGGGCUUAACUCGGAAAGGUCAAGUGAUACUGUCGGACUAGAGUACAGAAGGGGCAACUGGAAUUCUCGGUGUAGCGGUGAAAUGCGUAGAUAUCGAGAGGAACACCUGCGGCGAAGGCGGGUUGCUGGGCUGAUACUGACGCUGAGGCGCGAAAGCUAGGGGAGCGAACGGG
Molecule: ribosomal RNA, 254 nt
Filed under: uncultured bacterium
Lineage: Bacteria
Description: partial 16S ribosomal RNA
Rfam family: Bacterial small subunit ribosomal RNA
Source: RNAcentral